AGCUCCAAUAGCGUAUAUUAAAGUUGCUGCAGUUAAAAAGCUCGUAGUUGGAUCUCGGGUGCAGGCUUGCGGUCCGCCUCGCGGCGGUCACUGCUCGUCCUGACCUCCACGCCGGUUGUCCGCGCCCUGGUGCUCUUGAUUGAGUGUCUCGGCCGGCCGGAACGUUUACUUUGAAGAAAUUAGAGUGCUCAAAGCAGGCCUUAGCCGCCUGAAUAAUGGUGCAUGGAAUAAUGGAAUAGGACCUCGGUUCUAUUUUGCUGGUUUUCGGAGCUCGAGGUAAUGAUUAAUAGGGACAGACGGGGGCAUUCGUAUUGCGGCGCUAGAGGUGAAAUUCUUGGACCGUCGCAAGACGAACUACAGCGAUAGCAUUUGCCAAGCAUGCUUUCAUUA
RNAcentral lists this ribosomal RNA (390 nucleotides) under Lutraria sp. RNAcentral's name for it is "partial small subunit ribosomal RNA". It matches the Rfam family "Eukaryotic small subunit ribosomal RNA", at positions 587 to 975 of the family's 1831-position model. Lineage: Eukaryota; Metazoa; Mollusca; Bivalvia; Venerida; Mactridae. The record is from RNAcentral.